Molecule: non-coding RNA, 3978 nt
Organism: Coturnix japonica (Japanese quail)
Lineage: Eukaryota; Metazoa; Chordata; Aves; Galliformes; Phasianidae
Source: RefSeq, a predicted model, not a curated record
CUUCCAUAUGGGUGAGUUUUUCCUGUAAAUAACCUUUUGGCUAUUUACCACUAUCAUCUUUUCAUUAUUGUCACCAUACAUUCAGCAACUAAACAGAUGUGCUCUUUCUGCUAGUAGGAAAAAAAGGUGUAAAUGUCCUCCCACCUGAAAAUGAAUAAUAGCUUGUUAAGACAAAAAUAAAACUGAAAUCAUAUAGUCUGAUUAUCAGCCAGUGUGAUAUGAUGACAACAUUGAGGUUUCUUUCUGAGUAUAACCAGAUAUGUGAGGCCAUAAGCUGAUUGACUUUAAUCACCUGGAGUAAGUAAUAAAUUCUAUAGCUGCUUGUUUCAUGUAGUUCUUUCACAGUACUGAACAAACAUGAAGUAAGUACAGACUGUUAUGAACAAAACUCUUUUGUGGAAUUAUACAUUCAGGCAAGCAGUGACUGCAAAUUUUAUCACCUCUGCUAACAAUCAUAAAGAAAUAACAAGCUUAAUUUAACAUCUAUUUAGAUGUGUGCAAAAAGCUCAUAGUUCUUAUCAUAAGGGUCUGCAAGCCCUUUAUGGCAUGUUCUCUUCAAAAGAGUGCUUCAGUUUACUGCAACUCCUGUAGGGGUAGCAAAUGCUUAUACUUAAUUUUUAUUUUUUUUUUGAGAAAAUUACUAACUCGCAACCAAGCCAACCAAAUAAAGUGCAGUUGAAUCUGAUGACACCAUUAGAUAUUGGCUUACACCCAUCAUUCCACCCUUCAUACUGAUAAAAACAUUGAGUUUAAAGUGCUAUUACUGCUGUCAAUAGUUUCCACAUAGAACCUCUUCUAGAGGAGCUACACUUUGUGCUUUGGCACACAGUGAAAAUUGGCCUAGACUGCUGAGCAAUUCCUAUGCAUUCUCACACAAGUAAUAUAACUCCUUUCAUCUGAUCACAGAUAGUUACAAGGCAGUUAUAUCUCUUCAUCUUUUGUAAGUCUUAUGCAUCCUCUGAAGAGUGUACAUGAUAUUCCCUUUAUGGAUAGGUCCCCUGAAGCAUUUGGAUAUAUGAAAAUUGUCAUUCAUCUUCAGGAAACUCGCACACUCUGAAUCUCACCAUUUAAAUUUGCUUCUUUGUUUUUCCUUUUUUUUUUCCUUCCCCUUUUUUCCUAGUCUUUUAGGUGACAGAGCACUGGCACAGGUAGUGGAGUCUCCUCCUUGGUGAUCUUCAGAAGCUACCUGGACAUAGGUCUGAGCACUUUCCUCUGGAUGGCACUGCUUGAGUCAGGUUGGGACCAAAUGGAUCCAGACAUCUUUCCAACCUCAGUAAUUCAGAGAUUCUGUGAUAAAAGAGAAAGGCAUAGAACUUCUGCUCUUAAGAUGCCCUAGGAAGCUGUCCUUAUGGACAAAGGAAAGGAGUGGAGCUGUAUUGGGGUUCUGGUGAAUGAGCUGGAUGCAAUCCAACAGUGUGCACUUGCAGCCCGGAAGACCAACUCUGUCUUGGGAUGCAUUAAAAGAGGGAUGGUCAGCACGGUGAAGGAGGUGAUUGUUCCCUUCUACUGUGCCCUUUUGAAGCCCCACCUGCAGUUCUGUGUCCAUGCCUGUGGCCUUCAACACAAUAAAGAUUUAGAGCUAUUGGAUCAGGUCCAGAGGAGGGUCAUGAAGAUCAGAGGACUGGGAGAGUCAUGCAAAGAAAGAUUGAUGGAACUGGGCUUAUUCAGCCUGGAAAAGAGAAGGCUCCAGGAAGGCCUUAUUGCAGCCUUUCAGUACUUAAAGGCAGCUUCUAAACAAGAAUGAAAUCAACUUUUUAUGCAAGCAGUUAGUGGUAGGACAAGGGGGAAUGGUUUCAAACUAGAAGAGGGGAGAUUUAGAUUAGAUGGAAAUUUUUUACUCAGACAGUGAGGACAGCCUGUAACAGGUUUACCAGAGAAGUUGUGGAUACUCCAUCCCUGAAGCCAUGCAAGGCCGUGUUGGCUGGAGCCCCGAGCAGUCUGAUAUAGUGGGUAACAACCCUGCCCAUGGCAGAGGAGGCAGAACUGUGUGAGUUUUAGGUUUCUUUUCCAAGAUUCUUUUCUAUGAUUCCAUGACUUGCUCAUCUGAGCUGCCACUGAAGACCACGAAGUCUUCAAAAUGCUAAGAUAAGAAGAAUAGAUAUAUGCUCUUUUUGAACUGGUUUAUUCAUAAUUAACAGAGUGAUAGUUUUUGUAACAGGCCUGAGUUUGGACUCACUCAUGAUUUUACUGUUGUGGGUUGUUUUUUUUUUUUGCACAAAAGCUAUGAGAGGUAGCUUAAACUUCAUGAAGAAGCUGCAUGUUUACAAGGAUGGAUUGCAUUUUGCAGGAGCAGUUUGGUACCUGCCACAUCAGAGAAGCAGCUGAGUUUCAUGGAUAGAGUUUCCAGCUGAGCACUCAGAAGCCGCUGGGAGUGCCACCACAUUUGCUCUGAGCAUCCUACUUAGAUUGAGGGCAUGAAAUAAGGAGUUCAAAUAUUUCUCCAUCAUGUGAUAUCUCAGGCACAAUUUCCAGAAAGAAUCCGGUUCUGGCACAUGCUAUAUGAUGUCUUUACAGAACAAGAACACUGUUUUAGAAAAGCCAAGAAUAAUUUAUUUGGGAGGUAUAGCUUUAAACAAGCGAGAACAGCUCACACUAUCCUGCUUGCUACUCAACUUAACAAGAUGCACAUGUGGCUUUCCUACACAGAUACAUAAGACAAGAGUACGCCUUGUUCAAGUGAAUUCUGUAAAUGGUGGUGUGUUUUGAAAAGCGAUUGGUCUGAAUGCUGAAUUGUAUCUAUGCAUUAUGCCUAGGAGAAAACGUUAACUUUUCCAGGUAUCUGUUGGAAACUUCAUUUCAAGGGUAAGUUUGAGGGCAGGCCAAGCAUCAUGUUUUUGUGGCUUCCCAAAUCAGGUACCACUAAAUGACAACAGUGAUACUUCUCCAAUGGUUACUCUGUUAUUUGGUAUCUGAAGUGAUUUCCAGGAACCCUUUCUGCAUACGCUAUCAAUAAGAUGAAGAGUGAUUAAAAAAUGGUGUGCUACAAGCAGUUCAGGUGCAGCUUCCUUACUCAUGUUUAGAAUGUCUCUUGAGUCUGUAGAAUAUCAGGCAUUUGAAACAUAGAAGGUUAUCGUGGGUAACAACCCAGACUGAAAUAAAAUGGACAGAUGUGGCAACUGUGGUUUAUGACCAUGCAUAACAGCAGAUUAGCAUGUAUCAGCUGGCAGGUGUUAAUUGUCCCCAAGUGAGACACCAGUUCUUGCGCUUGUUCUGGAGUGUACUGACACCUGUAUUACAGCUAAGACUGUGGAAAGAACAUGGACUUGAAAAGUUAAUUGAAUAGAUAAGGUAUGUUUUCUGGGGUAAAGUUCAUGAAUUUAUAAUGGUCCCUGAUUUCUUUUACCUUUCACUAGUUUCCAGCUAGUUGAAUAUUGGUUAAAUCCUAAAUAGAAACUGCAUUCGUCUUAAUGGACCUGGUAAAACAAAAUAGAUCUCCACAGAAACAAAUUUGCAUGUUCCUUGUCUGAAUUUUUACUUGAAUUUCAAUACAUCUUGUUUGAAUCUCCAGCUUGGCUCAAUUCAUGUUUAUUUUACUCUCUUACCAUCAGUAGUGACAACUCAGUAUCCAACUUCUACCUUCUUUUCCUGCACAGCUGUUUUGUUUUCUACUUAAUGUCCAAGAGCAGAGGUUUUGCUCAGAUAUUUGCUGAGUUUUCUCUUACUUUUGUUUCCCAGAUCUUCCUGUUGGAAACUGAAGAGUAUUUUAAACUUCAAUUUUGAUCUCUUAAGCUUAAUUUUGAAGUGUUAUCUAUACAGUAAGUGACUUGCCAGCACUGCAAUGAUGAGAGCUUUUAGCUCACGGAGUAGUCCUGCACUUACUGAAAUUAACAGUAGCAUCUAGAAAAAGCAGAUUUUGUCCUUAAUUUGUCUUGAAGAGCCAUUAAAGCAUUCCAGCUGUAAGCAGGUAUCUCAGAUGUUUUGUCUUAAUGUAGGUAUAAAUCAUAGCACGCUUCUGUUGAAAAGAAUAUUAAAAAAAAA